Molecule: long non-coding RNA, 1375 nt
Filed under: Vulpes vulpes (red fox)
Lineage: Eukaryota; Metazoa; Chordata; Mammalia; Carnivora; Canidae
Description: lncRNA (ENSVVUG00000013951.1)
Source: RNAcentral
CAUGAGUGACCUGGAGCAAACAGCCUCACAACAUCAAGGCUCCUACCACUAAGGCUGCUGUGGAGUUCAAUAGCCUCCCUUCAGCGAAGAUUGAAAUAUUCCUUCUGCAACCUAGGAGGAUUCCUUUGCAGUGAGUGCCUGAAACAAUGGGGAGCAUCGUGCUGCAGUCUCCGAUUUCUCCUCUCCCCUUUUGUCUCAUCCCACCGAGCCCCACAGCCUCUAAAUACUGUAUUUCUGCGAGAGCUUGGUCCCCCGCCCCCCAACUCCUUACACUCAUCAAGCUUCUCCCGCAAGCUGCAGUCACAGCGCCCGACUGCAGGCCUCGGGAACCCCAUAUGGAGAAUCCGGAGAAUCCGUUUCAAAGAUGCUGGAUGGGUUGGAAGAGCAAGAGGAAGGAGGAGGAGGGCUGAGGCAGCAAGAAAGGAGCCACAGCUAAGCACCUUUGGUCUGAAGCCCCCGAAUCCACCCCUGCCUCUCGUUGCUUGUAGGUUCUGGAUGUGCUGGGUGCAAUCCCCCCCACCCCUACUCCAGCAACCAGGUGAUUCCCAGAGCCAAAGCAGGGCUCUCCUGCCGCCUGCGGUGUCCCCUGAGCCUGGAUGGCCGGAGAGCCUGGCCCUGCCUCUUGGAAGCGCGACACGCAAGGGCAGGUGGCUCUGCGAGACAGCAGGUGGGUCCCUGGGCCAGGGCCCAGCUCAGAUGCCCAGGGUUUCCCCAAGUAUCCUGUGACUCGUCACCCCCUUCCCUGCACCCCCCCACCCGGGCCACCACCCCCAGCUGAAACAAACUUCUCCCCUCUCCUGGAUUCUGCUGGAACUGUACUGGUCUCCGCUCAGGUCAGGGCUACCCAUUCUGGGGCAGGCGCUUCACGAGGUGCUGCAACACAAGCACGAGUGGCGCAGGCUGGACUUCUGUCCCCCUGGAGCUUCCCCGCAUGCAAAGCCCGGUUGGAGACACAGCGAAAGGUGCAGCUGCGACGUCGUUGGAGAGGAACCGAGACAAGGGGGUACGAGUGUGGGAGCCCACGGGAAAGCCCGCUGAUCCUCUUGACCUCGUCUAUGGAGGACGAAACUGAGCCUAGGAGUACGAGCUGGUUCUCGUGGGCUCCACGCAUCCGGUGAGGACCAGGCCUGGGCAGUCUCCAUCCCACUCCUUAAGCCCACAGACAUCAACAUAUGUGCCAAAGCAGAUCUUGGAGGAAGCUGUCCAAGUUCUUUUUUUGAGGAACCUGCAGCCUAGGUAAGUGGCCUCCGUCCAUCUCAACCCGGGGGAACGAUCCCAUCCUUAAAAGCAUGUGCUUCGAUGUGGGAGUGAGUAGGUGGGUGCCAGCCUAAUGUCUUUGACCCAAACGGUGGAUUUGGUGACUAAGAGGAGAGAU